GAUUUCCAUUAAAGGUCGUUAUCAAAUACCUGUUGAGAAUGGGUCUAUUACUGAGAAGUGAUGAUUAAUUGAUGAAAACGUUGAAAACGACAAAAAGGAGUUCUCGGAGAUCGAAUCGAUCUUACAGUCAUUACCAACUUUCCGCUAGAUUUAGUUUCAAAAAUAUAAAACAACUUUCCAUUAUAUAUAUUCCCCUUCUGCUAUUUUUUUG
This 211-nucleotide long non-coding RNA is filed under the name Brassica napus (rape). Its description in RNAcentral is "long non-coding RNA (BNAP_LNC023711)". The record is from RNAcentral. Lineage: Eukaryota; Viridiplantae; Streptophyta; Magnoliopsida; Brassicales; Brassicaceae.